RNAcentral lists this transfer RNA (72 nucleotides) under Planctomycetota bacterium. Its description in RNAcentral is "tRNA-Pro". It matches the Rfam family "tRNA". Rfam says of the family: Transfer RNA (tRNA) molecules are approximately 80 nucleotides in length. The record is from RNAcentral. Lineage: Bacteria; Pseudomonadati; Planctomycetota.
CAUGGUGUAGCUCAAUGGCAGAGCGCCUGCUUUGGGAGCAGGAGGCCGGAGGUUCGAUCCCUCCCACCGUGA